This 550-nucleotide small RNA is filed under the name Pan troglodytes (chimpanzee). RNAcentral's name for it is "processed transcript". The record is from RNAcentral. Lineage: Eukaryota; Metazoa; Chordata; Mammalia; Primates; Hominidae.
GGGGUGAGUGUGAGGGGCGGGAAAUCUGUGGACUGGGGACAGCUCCAAAACCCGGGAGUAGGCUGAAUAGCUGGGGCCCCCGACUCCGAUCUGGGCUCUAGGAGCGUCUUUGGUGCUGUUGGCCCGGGCCUCGCUUCCCCCCCAUUCCCGGCCUUCCGGGCUUUCUCGCCAGCAAGGCCGGAAGGGAGCGGUCCACCUGCAGCCCAGUGUUCUCAGGCGCCUGAGCCCCGGAGGUCAAGCUUACUGGGUUCCCCCUCUAUAGUGAGCUGGAGUACAGACAGCAGGAAUCUCAGUCCCAGGUUUCUGCUUUGGAGGACAAAACCCCAAACGGACCUGAGCGGACGUCCUGUUAGCGGGUGGUGCCUGGAAGAGCCUGGGGUGAGGAAUGCAGUGAGAAGGGUGUUGCAGUUCUUCAGGAGAGAGAAAAUGAUCCACAGUCUAUUUCUCAUAAACUGUUCCGGUGACAUAUUUCUAGAGAAGCACUGGAAGAGCGUUGUGAGCCAGUCUGUCUGUGAUUAUUUCUUUGAAGCUCAAGAGAAAGCUGCUGAUG